UAUCGGAUACUGGGCGUAAGCGCACGCAGGCGGUCUGUCAAGUCGGAUGUGAAAUCCCCGGGCUCAACCUGGGAACUGCAUUCGAAACUGGCAGGCUAGAGUCUUGUAGAGGGGGGUAGAAUUCCAGGUGUAGCGGUGAAAUGCGUAGAGAUCUGGAGGAAUACCGGUGGCGAAGGCGGCCCCCUGGACAAAGACUGACGCUCAGGUGCGAAAGCGUGGGGAGCAAACAGGAUUAGAUACCCUGGUAGUCCACGCCGUAAACGAUGUCGACUUGGAGGUUGUGCCCUUGAGGCGUGGCUUCCGGAGCUAACGCGUUAAGUCGACCGCCUGGGGAGUACGGCCGCAAGGUUAAAACUCAAAUGAAUUGACGGGGGCCCGCACAAGCGGUGGAGCAUGUGGUUUAAUUCGAUGCAACGCGAAGAACCUUACCUACUCUUGACAUCCAGAGAACUUUGCAGAGAUGGAUUGGUGCCUUCGGGAACUCUGAGACAGGUGCUGCAUGGCUGUCGUCAGCUCGUGUUGUGAAAUGUUGGGUUAAGUCCCGCAACGAGCGCAACCCUUAUCCUUUGUUGCCAGCGG
Molecule: ribosomal RNA, 579 nt
Filed under: Enterobacter hormaechei
Lineage: Bacteria; Pseudomonadati; Pseudomonadota; Gammaproteobacteria; Enterobacterales; Enterobacteriaceae
Description: bacterial SSU rRNA
Rfam family: Bacterial small subunit ribosomal RNA
Source: RNAcentral